AGGGGCAAGUGUCUUCAAACAUCCAAGAGCAACUUGCAACAGGAACAGGGCAUUUCCAGAAAAAGCAUUCAUGGAAAAGAGCCAUACAUUGAUCCUCUUCCGUCUAUAACUUCACUGGCUGAGAUGUUUGAGAGCAGAACUUCAGGAACCUACAAUACAAAUGACUGCCAAAUAUUAGAGAACUAUGAAGAAGUUCAGCCUCAUUAUACAGUGUGUUAAGAAUGGCACAGAACUGGAAAACCACAAUAGCUUUGGAACUGUCUCCAGCAACUUCCGGCAAACCAAGAGGAAAAAACGGAGCACCUGGAUGAAUUAAUGACACUAUCUUUGAGAGAAUCUUCGAGAAUAAUUCUCACUUUGGAGAAUGUAGGUGAACAGCCACUCCAGGUGUACUCCACCCUGCAGAAUGCCCACACAGAAGUUAAGCAUCUUCUAGCAGUUAAACAACAGGUGUCCUCCGAUAUGGCGGUUCUCAGGACAAAGCACAUAAAGACCCUAAAAGACUUGAAGAAUACCAACGAUUCUGUCACUUCUUUUGGCGAGUAUUCCACUCACUCAGACCAGCAGGAGGCAUUAAAUGCCUCUUGACAACUUGGUGAACGUCAGAGGAAAGAUUUCUCUUGCAUGCCCAGUGCAGCUGUGCCACAAGACCCAAUUCCAGCAGUAACCAGCAUCUUGACUGUCCACGCCUUUCAAUUGCCAGCACAAAAUGUACCUCUGCAAGCAUCUCAGAGCAUGGCUUACAUUGUAAAGCCAAUGAUGCACCAAGAUGAGUGCAGUGCUCUACCUUAGAGUAACCAACACUUGCCAAGAAAUGUUUAAAUGUUCCUUUCAUUAAAAACCUGUAGUUGUACAUGGUUAUAAAGUCUCCAAUUAUUAGUUGUGCGCCAAUUAUUGUUUUUUGUGGCCCAGGAAAAAACUAUAUAUUUACAAAUUUGACAGUGACACACCUUGUACUGUAGUAUACAACAGAUCGUUCCACAGACACUGGACCUGGGCUGUGUUUCCCAAAAGCAUUGUAAGCCUAAGCAGGUGACAAUGGUUUCUAUGAUCAACUUAAGCUUGCAAUGCUUUUGGGAAACGCAGCCCUGCUCUGUAAAUUCACAGAUGAGUAAGAUGCAUCUUUGUACUUUGAUCUUAAACACUCUUAUGAACACUGGUACACACUGAAUUAUGAACGGGGUUGA
This is a long non-coding RNA of Myxocyprinus asiaticus (Chinese sucker), 1187 nucleotides long. RefSeq lists it as uncharacterized. The record is from RefSeq and is a predicted model, not a curated record. Lineage: Eukaryota; Metazoa; Chordata; Actinopteri; Cypriniformes; Catostomidae. The transcript has 5 exons.